This 666-nucleotide long non-coding RNA is filed under the name Marmota monax (woodchuck). Lineage: Eukaryota; Metazoa; Chordata; Mammalia; Rodentia; Sciuridae. The record is from RNAcentral.
GUCACCAUUGGAUCUCAUAUAACAAUGGUCACCUUUACAAUGUCAGAUCAGGACCCAGAGUGAUGGUUACUUUAUGUGAUUUCAGUUUAAAUUGAUGAGGUACAAUUUUGAAACCUCAUAGGUAUUGGGCAGAGACUUUAAUGUGUUAUCUGUAUUUAUCCAAAGUGUUUUAUCCAUAAUAUGGUUUCAUCAAUUUUAUUUGUUAAUGAUUGGGUACCUGGAAAUUGGUAUUUGGCAUCAGGAUGGUGAAGCAUAUCAGAGGUAGGAAGUGAGACUAGUCUGGCAUCUGAAAAAAAUUAUGGAAUUUUACAGUUUAUAGAUUUCUUUAAAUUUUGAUCUUCACAAUAACCCUGUGAAGCAGGCAGGAGGAACCUAGUAUUUCUAUUUUAACAAAUAGAAAACAGUCUCACAGACACUAAGGAAGUGAAAGGGCUCAGGAUUGCCUAGUUAGCAAUCCUGUACAUAUAGAACUAGAGUCCACGUUUCCUGAAUAUUGGAAAGUACAAGAGUUCUGGUGUUAAAUCAAGAUUGGAGGCAUAAUUAGGCCACUUAUUAGCUUUGUGUUCUGUUGAGCAAGCUUCAAAACAACUGGCAACAGUUUUCCUAUUUUGUAAAGUGAAGUACUUGGGGUUUAACUAAAGAUUAAAUAACAUUUGAUGAUUGAUU